Salvia miltiorrhiza (redroot sage) is the source of this 604-nucleotide long non-coding RNA. RefSeq lists it as uncharacterized. The transcript is spliced from 3 exons. NCBI's taxonomy places the organism in Eukaryota, Viridiplantae, Streptophyta, Magnoliopsida, Lamiales, Lamiaceae. The record is from RefSeq and is a predicted model, not a curated record.
AUUUUGCUUUUACCACAUGCUCAUUAUCUUUAAUAGCAAGUGGAUUAAGAGGUUGGAGUUAAGGGGGACAUGCAUUAAUUAGCAUUUAUUAUAAAGUGAAAAUGUUGGGAUAACACUUUGAUUCAAGUGGGAUUAAAUUCUUGAGCAAGUCAUUAUCCUAACUCUACAAAAAACUCACGCACACCCUCCCUUCUCCUCCCCAUUCUCGGCCUCCCCUCUCUCUCUCUAUACUCUCUUUUCCUCCAUUGAUGUCCAUUGAAGAAAGCUUAGAGAAGCUUCAUCAAACACUACUAUGAGAUAAUCCACCAUCCAAUCCAAUCAAACACUAUCAUAUCUCAUCAAAUUCAAGAAGCUAGAGCUAAGAUCAAAGUUGGAGCAAAGUCUUGAUCACCUUUUAAAUCCUUGAACACGAGCAGAACAAGGAAGUAAGUAACUCCACUUUGACGAGAGAUUUUGAGUAAGGUCUUCAGGAUAAGCGGAGGGGGAGUAUGGUGCGGUGCUGGUGGGGAAUGUUUCGGGUUGACGUUUUCUUUCUCUAUCGUAUGUCUGUUUUGUCGAUAGAGUUUCGAUAUGAAGUUAUGUUGUAUUAAAUCAAGCACUUUAC